UAGUAGUUUGACUCCUGGCUCGAGGACGACGCUGGCGGCGUGCCUAAUACAUGCAAGUCGAGCGGACCGACGGGAGCUUGCUCCCUUAGGUCAGCGGCGGACGGGUGAGUAACACGUGGGUAACCUGCCUGUAAGACUGGGAUAACUCCGGGAAACCGGGGCUAAUACCGGAUGCUUGAUUGAACCGCAUGGUUCCAAUCAUAAAAGGUGGCUUUUAGCUACCACUUACAGAUGGACCCGCGGCGCAUUAGCUAGUUGGUGAGGUAAUGGCUCACCAAGGCGACGAUGCGUAGCCGACCUGAGAGGGUGAUCGGCCACACUGGGACUGAGACACGGCCCAGACUCCUACGGGAGGCAGCAGUAGGGAAUCUUCCGCAAUGGACGAAAGUCUGACGGAGCAACGCCGCGUGAGUGAUGAAGGUUUUCGGAUCGUAAAACUCUGUUGUUAGGGAAGAACAAGUACCGUUCGAAUAGGGCGGCACCUUGACGGUACCUAACCAGAAAGCCACGGCUAACUACGCG
Molecule: ribosomal RNA, 522 nt
Filed under: uncultured Bacillus sp.
Lineage: Bacteria; Bacillati; Bacillota; Bacilli; Caryophanales; Bacillaceae
Description: bacterial SSU rRNA
Rfam family: Bacterial small subunit ribosomal RNA
Source: RNAcentral